UCUCCGUUGGUGAACCAGCGGAGGGAUCAUUACAGGACUCGCAAGACUCCUACAACCCUGUGAACUUAACUAUAAGCACGUUGCUUCGGCGGGUGUCUCGGAGGGGGUUCUCCCUCCCCGAGACGCUAAACCCGCCGGCAGCCUACCAUACUCUGUCUCUUUGCGUUGGCAUCUCGAGUACAAUCAAACAAGUUAAAACUUUCAACAACGGAUCUCUUGGUUCUG
Molecule: unclassified non-coding RNA, 225 nt
Filed under: plant metagenome
Description: partial contains small subunit ribosomal RNA, internal transcribed spacer 1, and 5.8S ribosomal RNA
Source: RNAcentral